RNAcentral lists this ribosomal RNA (428 nucleotides) under Acidobacteriota bacterium. RNAcentral describes it as "Acidobacteria bacterium partial 16S ribosomal RNA". It matches the Rfam family "Bacterial small subunit ribosomal RNA", at positions 355 to 776 of the family's 1533-position model. The record is from RNAcentral. Lineage: Bacteria; Pseudomonadati; Acidobacteriota.
UGGGGAAUUUUGGACAAUGGGGGAAACCCUGAUCCAGCCAUCCCGCGUGUGCGAUGAAGGCCUUCGGGCUGUAAAGCACUUUUGGCAGGAAAGAAACGUCAUGGGUUAAUACCCCGUGAAACUGACGGUACCUGCAGAAUAAGCACCGGCUAACUACGUGCCAGCAGCCGCGGUAAUACGUAGGGUGCAAGCGUUAAUCGGAAUUACUGGGCGUAAAGCGUGCGCAGGCGGUUCGGAAAGAAAGAUGUGAAAUCCCAGAGCUCAACUUUGGAACUGCAUUUUUAACUACCGGGCGAAAGUGGGUCAGAGGGAGGUGGAAUUCCGCGUGUAGCAGUGAAGUGCGUAAAUAGACGGAGGAACACCGAUGACGAAGGCGGCCUCCUGGAUAACACUGACGAUCAUGCACGAAAGCGUGGGGAGCAAACAGG